This is a non-coding RNA of Equus caballus (horse), 2528 nucleotides long. Lineage: Eukaryota; Metazoa; Chordata; Mammalia; Perissodactyla; Equidae. The record is from RefSeq and is a predicted model, not a curated record.
UGCCCAUCUUCCUCUACUUUAUAUGUGGGACGCCUGCCACAGUAUGGCUUGCCAAGCGGUGUGUAGAUCCAAGGCCGGGAUCUGGGCCGGGGAACCCGGACUGCUGAAGUGGAAUGUGGGAACUUAACCACAGUGCCACCUGGCUGGCCCCUCAAGGGAACUUUUAAUAGAGCACCCACAAGCCUUGCUGCUGGAAGUGUGGUCUGAGGAUGGGAACAUCAGUCAUACCCAAGAACUGGCUGGAAGUGCAGACUUUCAGACCCAACCCCAGGUCUUCUACAUCCUACCAAAGUCCAGAGUGAUUUCUGUGCACAUUGACACUGGAGAAGCAAUGCCCACAUUUACGGAGUGAAGCCUGGAACUUCAUCAAGCUUACAGACCAAGCUGUAUGAAUGCAUUACUUUUUCUUUUUGUAUGCCAGCAUACUGAUACCUAUUGGUGUGACAGAAUUCCAUCUGAGGCUUAUUGUCACUGUAAUUAACACCUGGUUGUGAGGAGGUGAGUGGAGAUAACUGCAGACCUGGCCAAAGUUAAUUUUUGAAGCCCACCGUUAUCUACCGUAAAUAACCUUAUCAUCGUGAACUAUCAAAUUGCCCGGGUCAGUUUGCAGCUCUCUCUUUCUCUGGUCUGUCUCAGUUUGUGAUCUUACAUUCCAUGUGUGAUUAUUUAGUUAAUGUGUGCCUCCCUUAUUAUACUGUGGGCUCCAAAGGGCAGAGACAGGUUUUGUUUUUUCACUUUUACCUCUCUAGUCAAGUGUCUAGCACUGGUACUAGCGGACACAAUAAAUAUUUGUUGAAUGAAUAUUGUUGAAGGAAGGGAAUGUUUAUAAUUUUCUGAGCAGGCAAGGGAAAAUGCAUUUAAGCUUUUAUGGGCUUUAGAGCUUCAAACUGACUCUUGGGUGCUGAAUAAAUAACUUCCAUUGGGAUUUGCCCCUCAAAAUCCAAACAAACAUUUCCCAAACUCCUAUCUCGUGUCCCUCUAGUGCACUACAGUGAAGCUCAGAGGUGGAGAACUGGUUAUAAAAGCAUUUUCCUUUUCUUUUUUUUAUUUUUUCUCUGUUCUUUUUGCUUAUCUUUAUCUGGUUGAAGCUUGCUAAUCAGGUAUGUACAAGUUUAAUAAUCGUGGAAUGCAUAACCACAAUGUUAAAAGGAACACUGGCAAAUUAUUUCAUGACUUCAGUCCAUUGUUCUGGGCUCAGAGUGGCAGACAGCCAUUUUACCAGAGGGAGAAAAACUAGCCAGUGGUGACAUACAUAUGCCUUCUCCCAACUCCAGUCUUGUGAAACAGAAAAUCUUAUCAGAAAUAUGUAAUCAAUUUAAGCUUAUUUUAUGCAAAUUAUACCCUAUUAAGGAAGCCUGUGAACAAAAUCUCCAAAAACAAGAUUCUGCAGACUUUUUUGGCACUGCUGUGAUAGACAGUACUAAAUGCGAGCAGACUUGCAUGUUUAAAAUAUCGAAUGAUGGGGGAAAAUAUAAAAUUAAUUAUCUCAGUGAGAAAAAAACUGUCAGACAGAUAAUUUAUUAAAAACUAUUUUGGAAAAUUGUUACAUAAAACAUUUCUAAAUAAGAGCAAUUGAUCUAUCUAAUAAUAGGGAUUAGAACUGUAUCAAAAUGGUGACGAAUUAAGAUUUAUGUUGAGCUCCAAUUCGAACAAUAGAUGAAAUAGAUUGUACCUAUAAUACACAAUUGAUUGCUCGUGGCAAUCUCAGGCCAUCACACACACAUAUAUGUAUCUCACACACACCCAUAAUAUAUAUGUAUAUAUAUUAUAUAUACGCAUAUAUAUCCCAUUGGUUCUGUUUCUCUACAUAUGGUCUACUCCAAGAAAGAUCUUACCUAGCGCUACCUUCAUCAUUUUUAGGACUGAAGAUUCCUUCCUGUAUUCAAAACCACGUGCAUAAGGAAAGAAAUAUGCAGGAAAGAAAUCCGUACACUGUAGUAAUACGUGGAUGAAGUGAUUGAAAUGGUUAAAAACCGUCAAACUGUCUGCAGACCAUGUGAUGGACUGCUGGAGCCACGGAGACCAACAAACCACACUCGGAGAUAUAUUUGUUCUGCCCAAUGCUGCUUCUGUGCGACUCCCCAGGCGAAGCCACUGUGGAACUUUUAGCCUCUGAGUUAUACCAUAUGAGAAGAUAAAGCUGGAGAGAGAUUGGCUGUCAAUCUGACGGAUGCUAGGAGCCGUGAUGAUGGUCACCCACAUUAAAACUGCGAGUUAGAUACUUGUCACAACAUGGAUGGAUCUGGAAGACAUUAUGACAAGUGAAAUAAGUCAGUCACAGGAGGACAAAGACUGCAUGAUUCUUCUUAUAGUCGAAGGUACAGAAGUAGACAAUGGAAUGGUAGUUACCAGGGGUUAGAGGGAGGUGGAUAUCAGAAGUUGUUCAAUGAGUAGAAAAUCACAGUUCUACCAGAGGAUUAAGUUCCAGAGAUCUGCCGUACAAUAUAAUGCCUACAGUUAACAAUAAGGUGUUAUGUACUUAAAAAUUUGUUAAAAGAGUAGAUCUCAGGUUAAGUAUUCUUUCCACA